CCUACGGGCGGCAGCAGUGGGGAAUAUUGGGCAAUGGGCGCAAGCCUGACCCAGCAACGCCGCGUGAAGGAAGAAGGCUUUCGGGUUGUAAACUUCUUUUCUCAGGGACGAAGAAAGUGACGGUACCUGAGGAAUAAGCCACUGCUAACUACGUGCCAGCAGCCGCGGUACUACGUAGGUGGCAAGAGUUAUCCGGAUUUACUGGGUGUAAAGGGCGUGUAGGCGGGACUGCAAGUCAGAUGUGAAAACCACGGGCUCAACCUUGGGCCUGCAUUUGAAACUGUAGUUCUUGAGUUCGGGAGAGGCAGACGGAAUUCCUGGUGUAGCGGUGAAAUGCGUAGAUAUUAGGAGGAACACCAGUGGCGAAGGCGGUCUGCUGGACAGCAACUGACGCUGAGGCGCGAAAGCGUGGGGAGCAAACAGGAUUAGAUACCCGUGUAGUC
Molecule: ribosomal RNA, 443 nt
Filed under: uncultured bacterium
Lineage: Bacteria
Description: partial 16S ribosomal RNA
Rfam family: Bacterial small subunit ribosomal RNA
Source: RNAcentral